CCUACGGGGGGCUGCAGUGGGGAAUAUUGGACAAUGGGGGCAACCCUGAUCCAGCCAUGCCGCGUGUGUGAAGAAGGCCCUCGGGUUGUAAAGCACUUUCAGUGAGGAAGAACGCCUGGUGGUUAAUACCCAUCAGGAAAGACAUCACUCACAGAAGAAGCACCGGCUAACUCCGUGCCAGCAGCCGCGGUAAUACGGAGGGUGCGAGCGUUAAUCGGAAUUACUGGGCGUAAAGCGCGCGUAGGUGGCUUGAUAAGCCGGUUGUGAAAGCCCCGGGCUCAACCUGGGAACGGCAUCCGGAACUGUCAAGCUAGAGUGCAGGAGAGGAAGGUAGAAUUCCCGGUGUAGCGGUGAAAUGCGUAGAGAUCGGGAGGAAUACCAGUGGCGAAGGCGGCCUUCUGGACUGACACCGACACUGAGGUGCGAAAGCGUGGGUAGCAAACAGGAUUAGAUACCCGUGUAGUC
This 465-nucleotide ribosomal RNA is filed under the name Vreelandella stevensii. RNAcentral describes it as "partial 16S ribosomal RNA". It matches the Rfam family "Bacterial small subunit ribosomal RNA", at positions 338 to 795 of the family's 1533-position model. The record is from RNAcentral. Lineage: Bacteria; Pseudomonadati; Pseudomonadota; Gammaproteobacteria; Oceanospirillales; Halomonadaceae.